GAUGAAGAACGUAGCGAAAUGCGAUACGUAAUGUGAAUUGCAAAUUCAGUGAAUCAUCGAGUCUUUGAACGCACAUUGCGCCCCCUGGUAUUCCGGGGGGCAUGCCUGUCCGAGCGUCAUUGCUGCCCUCAAGCACGGCUUGUGAGUUGGGCCCCGUCCUCCGAUCCCGGGGGACGGGCCCGAAAGGCAGCGGCGGCACCGCGUCCGGUCCUCGAGCGUAUGGGGCUUUGUCACCCGCUCUGUAGGCCCGGCCGGCGCUUGCCGAUCAACCCAAAUUUUUAUCCAGGUUGACCUCGGAUCAGGUAGGGAUACCCGCUGAACUUAAGCAUAUCAAUAAGCGGAGGA
This 345-nucleotide unclassified non-coding RNA is filed under the name soil metagenome. RNAcentral's name for it is "partial contains 5.8S ribosomal RNA, internal transcribed spacer 2, and large subunit ribosomal RNA". The stretch from base 1 to 119 matches the Rfam family "5.8S ribosomal RNA", at positions 35 to 154 of the family's 154-position model. The record is from RNAcentral.